Molecule: long non-coding RNA, 1609 nt
Organism: Homo sapiens (human)
Lineage: Eukaryota; Metazoa; Chordata; Mammalia; Primates; Hominidae
Gene: DHCR24-DT
Product: DHCR24 divergent transcript
Source: Ensembl
ACCUCGCGUCCCGCUAUCCCCGCGCACGCCGCCUCCGGCCCUGAGUCCCGGCCGCACCCGGCGCCGCUCACCUGCUUCUGGAUGUCCCGCACGCGCUGCUCGUGCAGGCGCGGAGCGCUGCUGAGCUUGAACACCACCCAGGCGCGCACGUAGUAGUAGAUAUCGAAGAUAAGCGAGAGCGGCAGGAGGAAGAGGCACACGAACACCCAGCGCUGGUGGAUGAGCACGAACUCCAGCCCCUUCAGGCGCACCCACAGCAGGAAGAGCAGCGCGCACACGGCCAGCGACACGGCGGGCUCCAUGGUGCGGCGCCGCGCGGGCUUGUUUACUAAGUAAACAAGAAGAGGGCCUGGGAGGAGAGUCUGAUGAGCAAGGGGAAGGUAGCCAAGGAUGGAGUGAAAUACAAGAGCAUAAACUCAGAGGACGCAGCUACUUCUCUCCAUGAAUAGGCUGUCUCCCAGGCACAGAAUUCCAGGAACCAGCAGGGCCUUUCAAGGUUGGUUUCAAGGGAAGAGUGUGUCCCUUGCAGGGUGGCUGGAGCCAGCUCCAAGAGCCUGAAAAAUCAUCUUGGCACCAAGUCUGAUGCAACUCUGGACCCAACAGGAAUCUUGGAGGAUUUGCCACAACCUUAGUCAUUCACCUUCAAAUCAUCCACACUGAUUCAGCCUCUCCUUCACUGAACAAGUAUUUAUUGAGCACCUACUAUGUGUAACCUUCUAGGCAAUAUAACUUUUUGGAUACAGCAGAUUAAACAAAGAUCACUGCAAUCACUAAAUGAAUAUCUUGAGAGGUGGAUUGUAAAAGAGACUUCUGUACUAUUUUAUGUGUACAUAGAAUCAAGUGGGUAUAGAACUUUGGUGUUGGAUGGACCUGAGUUUAAACACACUCUGUUCUGUGAUCUUGGUUAUUUGAAUUUCUCUGAGCCUCAGUUUCCUCAAUCCUUAGGUGGAAAUAAAAAUUCCUACCUUAUCCAGAAUCAGUUAAAUAUAGAGUUAGCCAUAUGACCAGCAAGUUCAUGCCUAAAUUACAUAACUGAGGGAAAUAAAAACAUAUUUUUUAUCUUUCACACAAAAACUAGUAUCUGAAUGUUCACAGCUGCAGUAUCCAUAAUAGCCAAAAAGUAGAAACAACUAAAAUGUCUGUCAACCAAACAGUAAGUAAACAAAAUGUUUUAUAUCAUACAAUGGAAUAUUACUCAGCAAUAAAAAGGAAUGAACUGAUACAUGCUUCAACAUGGAGGAACCUUGAAAACAUUAUGCCACAUGAAAGAAGCCAGAUCUCAUAUUGUAUGUUUCCAUUUAUGUGAAACGUUUAGAAUAGGCAAAUCCAUAGAGACAGAAAGUAGAUGAGUCGUUGCCUCAGGCUGGGGGAAAUGAGGAAUUAGGGUGUGAUAGUUAAGAGGUGUGAGAUUUCUUUUCAGGGUGAUGGAAAUGUUUUAAAAUUGAUGAUGAUGGAUGCACAACUCUGUGAAUAUACUGAAAGCUACCGAAUUGUACACUUUAAAUGAGUGAGUUUUACAGUAUAUAAAUUAUAUAUCAUAAAGUUGUAAAAAGAAAAAAAUCUUACCACGUAGGGCUCUUUCAGGAUUAAAUGAGCUAAGAAUACAAUG